Molecule: ribosomal RNA, 410 nt
Filed under: uncultured bacterium
Lineage: Bacteria
Description: bacterial SSU rRNA
Rfam family: Bacterial small subunit ribosomal RNA
Source: RNAcentral
UCGAGAAUCUUCGGCAAUGGGCGCAAGCCUGACCGAGCGACGCCGCGUGGAGGACGAAGGCCUUCGGGUUGUAAACUCCUGUCGAGGGGGAGGAAGCCGCAAGGUUGACCGAUCCCUGGAGGAAGGACGGGCUAAGUUCGUGCCAGCAGCCGCGGUAAGACGAACCGUCCGAACGUUAUUCGGAAUUACUGGGCUUAAAGCGCGUGUAGGCGGCUCGGCACGUCGGACGCUGAAAUCCCCCGGCUCAACCGGGGAAGUGGCGCCGAUACGGCCGGGCUCGAGGGGGGUAGGGGGUCUGGAACUUCCGGUGGAGCGGUGAAAUGCGUUGAGAUCGGAAGGAACGCCCGUGGCGAAAGCGAGGCCCUGGACCCUUACUGACGCUGAGACGCGAAAGCCAGGGGAGCGAACGG